RNAcentral lists this unclassified non-coding RNA (156 nucleotides) under soil metagenome. RNAcentral describes it as "partial internal transcribed spacer 1". The record is from RNAcentral.
CCGAGUAUGCCCUUCUGGGCGGACCUCCAACCCACUGUAUACUACUUUUGUUGCUUUGGCGGGCCCGCGCAAGCUACUGGCUUCGGCUGGUAAGUGCCCGCCAGAGGAAACUAAACCCUUACAAUUUUUGUUUUGUCUGAAAAAAGUAAAUAUUUA